ACAGAGGGGGCAAGCGUUGUCCGGAGUUACUGGGCGUAAAGCGCGCGUAGGCGGUACGGUAAGUAAGGUGUGAAAGCCCCAGGCUUAACCUGGGGAGGUCAUCUUCGACUGCCGCACUCGAGUCGUGCAGAGGGUGGUGGAAUUGCCGGUGUAGUGGUGAAAUGCGUAGAGAUCGGCAGGAACACCAAGGGCGAAAGCAGCCACCUGGGCACGUACUGACGCUGAGGUGCGAAAGCGUGGGGAGCGAACCGGA
This 253-nucleotide ribosomal RNA is filed under the name uncultured prokaryote. Its description in RNAcentral is "partial 16S ribosomal RNA". It matches the Rfam family "Bacterial small subunit ribosomal RNA", at positions 525 to 777 of the family's 1533-position model. The record is from RNAcentral.